UAGAGAACACUUGCUAGAGAAUCUUCUCCUUUUGGGGUCUUUCACUGUCCUGGAUUUUAGACUGUCCUGGAUUUCUUCGGUCUCUGAUUCUGGAACUUCAAAUCCUUGUUCCUGAGACCAAUGACAACAGGCUGAAGCUAUAACUAGACUUACACCAGGCAAGAAAGACCCACUGGGAAGACGAUGGAAUGAAGAAACCAAGCUUUCCACAUUCCUUUGACUAAGCACCCAGGGCUAACAGUUUACCCGGAAAUGUCGGUACCUUGCCUAAGCUAUAAUGCUCCAACACUUCUAACAUAAGAACCUGUAUAUUGCAAGCAGAUUUCCAGGCCCUCUUUCACAAGAAGAAGCAAUGAAAAGGUAAAGAGGAAGAUUGAGAAAAGGAAAAGGGAUUGGCUACAGCUGUUGUCUUUGGUGUAAGACCUAAGACACAGAUUGGUCUGAG
Molecule: long non-coding RNA, 445 nt
Organism: Chelonia mydas (Green sea turtle)
Lineage: Eukaryota; Metazoa; Chordata; Testudines; Cheloniidae
Exons: 3
Source: RefSeq, a predicted model, not a curated record